This 6947-nucleotide long non-coding RNA is filed under the name Ananas comosus (pineapple). Its description in RNAcentral is "long non-coding RNA (ACOM_LNC034461)". The record is from RNAcentral. Lineage: Eukaryota; Viridiplantae; Streptophyta; Magnoliopsida; Poales; Bromeliaceae.
AGUGAUUGGAUGUGUUUCGAGCUUUUCCACACUUGGUGGAGGGUCGUAGAAUGUUUUCCGACCUGAAAAGUUCGAAAACUGGAAUUCUGGAUGAAUCCCGAGAGUUUUACUCUCGGGGACCGGUCCCUGGAAGGAGAGACCGGUCCCCCAGUGAGCAGUGCUGCGCAGCCGGCGAGGCAACCGGUCCCUGGCAGUCGAGACCGGUCCCCGAGCGCGUCUGCGCAGGGAGAGACCGGUCCCGCGCAGGGAGAGACCGGUUCCCGAACGCUGAUUUUUCGGGUUCGACACGAGAGAACGGUCCCUUGCAGGGAGAGACCGGUCCCUCUGGGCGAAAACUGCCCAGACCGGGCUGAGGUAAUAUUGGUUUUUUGAGGGGCCUCUUUGGAUUUUGUUACACUAGAUGGGCUAAAUAGCCAUUCCACCCUCUUCCCUUCCUCAUUUCCUUAUUCUCACCCUCUCCCUACACCUUCUAGAGAGAGAAGAAGAAGGAGGAGGAGAAGAAGAAGAGGAGGAGCUUGCUUGAGGAGGCUUGGAGCUUCAACCCUUUCCCUCCUUUCCACCCUUACAAGGCUUGGAGCUUGCUUGUAGGGCUUGGUGGUGGACCAAUCUUCAACCCUAGAAGAUUUGGAGCUUGCUUGGAGGCAUCUAGAGAUGUUAGUACCUUGAUUCUAACCUUUGAUUCUUAUUUUGGUAGAUUUUACCUUAUGGAACCCUAGAGUGAGAUUUUAGGGUUGAUUUUGGGGCUUUUUGAAUCUAGUGCUUUUGGAGCUAGAUUGAUUGGAUUAGAACCUUCCUCUAGGCUAGUUUGGAAGGGUUCUAGCUCUCUUUUGGAGUUUGAGAGAGAUUUUCCACACUUUAGGUGAGUUUUAGCCCUUUUGCUAAAUUUGUUAAAGUUUGGUCUUAUAGUUGAUCGUAAUGCCGUGUAUCUCUUCGCUCAAUACUUUUAGGGUAUUUUGAGACUCGUGGACAACUUCGUUCGGCGAAACGAGGCACUACGCGACGGUUCGGUGGGUUUGACCUAGCCACACAAUGAGAAAAUCUCAUUUGAGUUGAUUUGAGUACUGUUAAAUAUUUAUUCAUGCAUUUCCAUGCUAGAUAUAUUUAUUAUGAUUUUUAGAAGGUUUAAAAUGCCUAUGUUACAUGUGGUGAAAUUUCGGACCUCUAUGUAGUAACGAGUUGCUUAAGAGAUCUAUGGUUGUAUUUAGCAUUCUAUAUGAGACUUGGUUUCAUGCUUCUAUAGUGUAAAUGAGUAUUGACACAUGCAUUUAAACUUAAGCUUAUUUGAGACAUGAAAGAUGACAAAAUUGCCAUAUAGAGGUAUCGAACUAGAGUGUAUGUGAAUUAGAGAGCUAAUGCUAUCAAGCGGCAUUGAGCUCGGGACAUGUGUGAACCUAGUGGUUAGGGCCUUUGAGGGAUUUGGAUUACGUUGAACAUUAAAUUAUCUAAGUGUCAUCAAGGGGCACUAGGCGUAGUGAAUGUUGGAACUUCACCUUGUAACUUAAACUAGAUCUUCGAGAUGCUAGUGACGAUACCGUGUUAGAGACAUGAGGAUUGGAUACUUGAGGCUUAGACUAUACUUGCUUGCCAUUUGUGCUCAUUCGCACAUGCUUGUGAGGAUCGCUCCCCACAAGCCGGCACUCUGGAGUUAGCCUACGCGACUUAUGUUCGCUCGUGCGGUAUUGAGAAGCCUACAGGGUCGAGUGGGACAGACAAAUCCCAAGAGUAGGGAUGUUGGGCUACCACAGGCACUUAGGCGGCACAAGCUGGACUACCUUUGGUAGGUCCUUAAUUGGAAAUGGAAAUCGACACAGUGUUGAAAAUGAAUAAUCGCUACUAGAUAGGCUUAGUAGUUGGAUUACUUGACAUGCUCAUGACAUAGCAUUAGGAUAUAUAGUACACUUGCCUGUUUCAUUCAUUGCAUCAUAGUAUACUGGGAUGUUUUGAUAGAGCUUACUCCUUAUGCAUUGACAUAUUGCAUCGUGAGGUUACUUGUUUAUUAUGUUGAGGCAUAUUAGUAUGCAUUGGACACAUUAUCUUAUGAUAGCGUAGAUGUACAACACCAUAACAUCAUGCUUACUUGAGCCAUAGUAGUAUAGCAUUUCAUGUAUGCUUUCUUUCCGCAGUUUUUAUACUCGCUCUUUAUUGCUUAUUAUUAUCGUCGUUACUUACCAUUUUCUUUUGGGGCCUAGUGGUGCUUUGAGCUGAGGUCAGUAAUUGCCUACUGGGAACUAUAAAUUAUAGUUCUCACGCCCUCUGUUUUAUGUUUUCAUUCAGAACCUUCCACGCCGGGAGAGGCUAGGGACCGAGGGAAGGGCAUGGCUUCGAGCUAGCUCUUCAGCGAGUGACGAGUCGCUAGGUGGUCUACCUCUCGAUGUUUUAUUUUGGAGAGGUUGAGAGCUGUACCAGUGUACUAGAGACCACCCCUUUUGUGUACUUUUUGGACAGAUAUUGUAUUACCUUAUGUUUUACUUCUAUGGUUUAGUCGUGAUCUUUGUACUCUCUCUUUAUAGAUGAUAGAAUCAUACUUGCUCUGAUAUCCCUAGUUGUAGAUUAUUUCUUGCUUUUACUUCCGCUUUUAUUGUAGACGCCUUAUAUGUGUAGACAUAUGGCGGGUCUGGGCGCGCUACCGGGGGGGCCCUCCGCCGGUCCCGGGGCGUGACAGUUUUUCCAGUUGACAACCCUCACACACAAUAUUCUCUUUGAAGUUUAUCUUAGGUACACCUCUAACUACCUCCUUCUUUGUUAUUCUAGAUAGUUUCUUAAAGUUCAUGUGAGCUAGUCGUUCAUGCCAUAAAGUUUCAGUGUCUGAUGUCGCUAGGUUAUAAUGUUCAGUUGAAGCACUAGGAACUACAUAACAAUUGUUCUGUGACCUAACUCCUUUUAAAAAGAAAGAAUUAUCAUCAAGAAUCACAGUGCAUUCUGUAGCAAAAAAUUUAACAGAGUACCCGUCAUCACACAGUUGACUUAUGCUUAUAAGAUUUGAUUUAAGCCCUUCUACAUAAAAGAUAUCAUUCAAAGUAGGGCCAUCGGAGAUAGUGACUGUUUCAUUUCCAAUAAUUUUAGAUGACCGACCAUCUUCGAAGACAACAAAUCCUCCGAAAAUUUUGUUUAAAGAUGUAAAACAGUUUUUAUCGCCGGUCAUGUGACGAGAACAACCACUAUCUAAAUACCAAGAAAAAUUACAUAAGCAUGAAGUGAAGUGUGUAUGACAAGGCAAGGAAAGAUUUUACCUUUGCGCACCCAAACCUUAAGCGUUUUGGGUAGCGUCGGCCGACUUGAUUGAGACUUUUGACGCUUGUCGACGAUUUGUCCAAUGCUCUUCUUUGGGAUCAUCCUUCUUUGGUUUCCAUGUUCGCUUUGCAUUCAUUUUCAGAUCUUCUUUCUUCAAUUACUCAAGUGGCCUCCGUUUCAUAGGUGUCGUGGUACUCUUCGGUUUUUGUUUGCAGUAUCUUUUCACAUGUCCUACAACACCACAUAAAUGACAAAUUUAGUUAGCAAAAGAAUUUUUAUGAGGGAUAAACUUAUCAUAAACCUCAUGUGCCGGUUUCGUUAAAUGUUCGUCCACUUUCUUCAUCACUUGAUCGACAUAAGUCCUUUUGUAUCCAAGUCCGAAUUUAUUUGUUUGACCAAGUCCUAACAUUUUGUCAAGUUUGCUAGAGCUAGACGAAAUCUAUUUAAAUCCGAUUUGAGUUGAAUAAUUGUCUUGGUGAAUUCCAUGUUAGAUUCUCUAGCUUCCGUGUAUUGCUUGGUAAGGAAAUUGAUAUUCUCUACAUAUGAUUCCUUCUCCUUCUCAAGCAAUGUACACUUAUCUAAUAAAGAGAUAUAGGACUUGUUCAAACCGUCUUUUUCUUGCUCAAAACUUUUCGUCAAAAUUUCCAAUGUCGUGUUCUCUUCUUCCAACUCGAGCAAUCUUCGCCACAACUUCUUGUUGUGCUUCGCCAUCUUCUUUGAUUCAACAACAAGUUGAUGAUAUGCGGCGACCAUAUCAUCUUCCUUCGACUCUUCAUCCGAUGAGUUGCUCUCCGAAGUAGAUUUUUCAUGCAAAGGAGACAAAGAAAUAGAGUCAGUAGAAGCUAAACACAUAAAAAAAGAAUCAUGUGCAAUAAGUGCAGUGACAUUUAUAUCUUCAUCAAUUGAGGUUGACUCAUCAGAAGAUGAAUCAUCCCAAGUAAUGGCUUGCAUCGCUUUCUUUUUCAAAGAUUUUUUAUUAGGACAAUCUGAUGCAAUAUGACCAAAUCCUCUACACUUAUAGCAUUGGAUUUGUUCUUUAAUAUUUUCUUUUCUUUUGAAAAAUCUUUUGAUGAAUUUUUAGAUUUUUUAAACUUAGAUGAACUACUCCCUUUUGACUUGUGUUGCUUGGAGGAGGUUGCCUUGGAUGAUAGUUUCUUUCUAAAGUUCCAACGGAACUUUCUCGUUAAAAGCGCCAGUUGCUUCUCGAACUCCUCCAAGGUUACGUCUGAGUCCGAAUCUGAAGAUGAUGACUCCAACUCGUCUCCUUUUGUUGUUUUUAGAGCCAUACCUGAAGCUUUAGAAGACAACUUGGAAGAAGAUUAAUUAGGAGGAAAAAUCAUUUCAUAAGUUUGAAGUGCACCAACUAAUUCUUCUACUUUUAAUUCGUAAGGAUGUUUUACCGUUUCUAUGGCAGCAACCUUUGGACGAAAUCGUUCGGGAAGGGUUCUUAAAAUUUUUCGAACAAAUUUAGAUUCAGAAAUCUUUUCUCCCAAGUUAGCACAUGUAUUCACAAUAUCUUGAAGACGAGUAUAAUACUGGAAAAGGUUUCAUGUUCUUCCAUGUGGAUUGAAUCAAAUCUACUAAUUAGCAUUUGCAAUUUUUGAACCUUUACCAAGCUUGUACCCUCAUGCGUAACUUGUAAAUUGUCCCAAAUUUAUUUGGCGAUUUCACACGCCGAAACUCAUGAAAAUUUAGUUUGAUUUAAAACAUUGAACAAAGCAUUAAUACCCUUUCCAUUAAACGAUAAUAAUUUAUUUUCUUCCUUCGUCCAUUUAUUUCUAGGUUUAGGGACGGUAGAAUUAUCGACAACUUUAUUAGGAUGUUUCCAUCCAAAUUUAAUCGAUUGCCAUACCCGCUCGUCAAUAGCAAUAAGAAACACUUUCAUACGAACUUUCCAAUAAGCAUAAUUAGCACCAUCAAAGAGUGGGGGUCGAUUAAUGUUACCACCCUCGGCCAUAGUUUACAACCUAUACCCGCUCUGAUACCACUUGUGAGAUAUGGAUCCCGAAGAUCUAAAAGGUAAAUAACACCUAGAGGGGGGUGUUUAGGUGUAAACAACAAAACAUAGAUCUCAAUGCAAAUUUAAACUAAAAGCGAAAAAAUAAAUUCAGCACACCGAGAUUUUACGUGGGAAAACUCUAACUCGGAGUAAAAAACCCACGGGACCGAUCACACGAAACAAUCCACUAUGAAUAAAAUUGAGUACAAGUGAUUUACCAAAAACACGACCCAACUUUUACCGAAUCCUCGUCGUAGAUCGUCUUCGCCGGUCCUCGAUCGAUCAAACUCCUCCAAUCGACCACACUGCAAAUCCUCACAGCCACAACACCUCGAAUGCACGAUGCGUCCACCGAAUCCACGGCCUCACGCGAAGUCCUCGCGCCAACACUCCAUCCGGAGCUCAUAGAGAAUAAUAAUUUGUGGUGAUUCAAUCUCUUAGAAAGAUUAUAAGAUAUGAGGAGAAACCCUUUCAAUCCAUCACCGAUUCGAUUCUUAAAGAAAAAAAUGGAAUAGAAACCAAGAAUUGAAUCGACGAUCAAAAAAUAAAACUUGUUUUUAAAACAUUGAUCGAAAAUCUCCAAAGCAAGUUUUUAGGGUUUCAAAAAAUUUUUCUUUCUAAGCAUAUAUCAUAGGAUGCUCCUCAUAACUUAUUUAUAGGUUUAGAAGACUUAUAGAUAGAUUAGGAUUUUAAAAACAAAAUACGGUCUCAGGGGACCUCCUAAAGGGUCCGGACCUUGAAGGUCCGGUCCGUGAAGCCAGGGUCCGGAGCCUCUCUGCGUACCAAGAAAUAUAGGCUACGGGGUCCGAUCCCUAGCUCCAGGGUCCGGACCCUCGCUGCGUAAUAGGAAUUCCAACGUACGAGGUCCAGUCCCCUGUAUAAGGGUCCGGUCCCUCUAUACGUACACGCAGAAGGGAUCUACGGGGUUCGAACCCUCACUUAGGGUCCGGACCCUGAACCUCGAAAGGCUCAGUUUUGUCCAGAUUUUACAUUUAAAAACCUUAUAAGUCUUCGAACCUUUUAUCAAAAGUGUAGAAUUUCACCACGAAUCAUUAACACACAUACCUGAGAUAUCGAGCGUCACGAACGAGUCUUUUGAUCUUGAAACACGCAAUCAUCGCUUCUGUAACACACUGGACCUUUGCAAAUUGCGAGGUUCGAGUGUUUGGAUGUAUUUCGAGCUUUUCCACACUUUGUGGAGGGUUGUAGAAUGUUCUCCGACCUAAAAAGUUUGAAAACUGGAAUUCUGGACAAGUCCUGAGAGUUUUUACUCUCGGGGACCGGUCCCUGGAAGGAGAGACCAGUCCCCCAGUGAGCAGUGCUGUGGCAGCCCUGAGGCAACCGGUCCCUGGCGGGCGAGACCGGUCCCCGAGCGCGUCUACGCAGUGAGAGACCGGUCCCGCGCAGGGAGAGACCGGUUCCCGAACGAUGGUUUUUCAGGUUCGCAGCGAGAGACCGGUCCCUGCUGGGGAGAGACCGGUCCCUCUAGGCGAAAACUGCCCAGACCGGGCUGAUGCAAUAUUAGAUUUUUGAGGGACCUCCUGGGAUUUUGUUACUUUGGAUGGCCUAAAUAGCCCUUCCACCCUCUCUCUUUCUUAUUUCUCUCCUCACACUCCCUCCAUACCCUUGUUAGAGAGAGAAGAAGGAGGAGAAGAAGAAGGAGAAGGAGGGAAGAAGAAGAAGAUUGAGAGCUUUUAGAGGACUUGGAGCAUCUUCC